RNAcentral lists this ribosomal RNA (463 nucleotides) under uncultured bacterium. RNAcentral describes it as "partial 16S ribosomal RNA". It matches the Rfam family "Bacterial small subunit ribosomal RNA", at positions 28 to 507 of the family's 1533-position model. The record is from RNAcentral.
GAUGAACGCUGACAGCAUGCUUAACACAUGCAAGUCGAUGGGGAAGUGGUGCUUGCACCCUGGUAACCAUGGCGGACGGGUGAGUAACGCGUAAGGAACUUGCCUGCGGGACUGGGAUAACAGCAGGAAACUGCUGAUAAUACCGGAUAAGGUCAUUAAGCUGCAUAGCUUAGUGAUGAAAGGAGACGCCUGCGGAGAGCCUUGCGUCCUAUUAGCUAGUUGGAGGGGUAACGGCCCACCAAGGCGAAGAUAGGUAGCCGGCCUGAGAGGGUGGACGGCCACAAGGGGACUGAGAUACGGCCCUUACUCCUACGGGAGGCAGCAGUGGGGAAUAUUGGACAAUGGGGGCAACCCUGAUCCAGCAAUUCUGUGUGCACGAAGACGGUUUUCGGAUUGUAAAGUGCUUUCAGCAGGGAAGAAGGAAGUGACGGUACCUGCAGAAGAAGCGACGGCUAAAUACGUG